Long non-coding RNA from Solea solea (common sole), 1013 nucleotides. RefSeq lists it as uncharacterized. The record is from RefSeq and is a predicted model, not a curated record. Lineage: Eukaryota; Metazoa; Chordata; Actinopteri; Pleuronectiformes; Soleidae. The transcript is spliced from 3 exons.
UGAUCAGUCAGAUCGAUGUUUGGCGUGGCCGUGACAGAUAGAUCGGUGAUCCAUACUCCCCAAUUGUGCGAGUCUGCUGCAUUGUCUGUGCGGAGCUGAAGUGUGCUCCCUCCACUGUGGGUGAACACAUCAGUGUCGGAAGUUGCUGUGGACGGCAAGUGAGCCGUGCGCUCCCUCUCUCUCUCGCUCUCCCUCUCCUCACGAGUCGGAAGCGCUGCGCUGCUAUUCUCUGGUAGGUACUGUAUAUGCAGGCUGAUCCUGGUGUGUUUUUAAAUUGUUACACCACAUUAAGAUUGAGUAUUUUUGCUCUUUGCUCGCUUGGCAGGUAAUUGGGCCAGCCUGUGAAUCGCGGUGCUGCGGCCCUGUAGAAACCUCAGCCUCCAAGCCGUGGCCGACUGCUGUUCUGUCUCCCUCUCUUUGAUUGUUUUAGUUCAUGCUGCCGCUACAACUACUACUACUACUACUACUACUACUACUACUACCACUACUUUCGUGAUGAGUACAAUUUUGUGAUGGUUUAAAUUAUAGUUAUGAAUAUUGUUUCAGUUUGUUAGUUGCUUUAUUUUUGUUUGGUUGUUUGUGUGUUUAUUUUUGACUAAGUUGUUUGAUUUGAAUUACUGCAUGUUUUCUCUAUUCGAUUAAUUUGAUUUGAUUAUUUUGGUUUGUUCUUUAAAGUGCCUUGUGAAUUAUUUAGAUUGUGUUUGUGCAUGUUAUUGUUUUAUUUCUUUGUAUUCUGUUUUAUGUGCAUGUUCAUUUUUGAUUUAUUCUAUUCCAUUUUGUAUUAGUUGGGUUUGUGUGUGUGUGUGUGUGUGUGUGUGUGUGUGUGCUGCUGGCGUUCACUCUGCUGAUAAUUUUUGUGUUUUGUGCAGGGCAGGAGCUGUAGGGGCAGAUAGCGGCUGGUCCCCUGGUGGUGGUGUCCGUCAUUGGUCCUUCGACUGUACAGCACUUGGGUGUCAUCCGGAUGGUGUACGGUAAUCACUGUGGUGUAUAUUAAGACCCCUUUUCCUUCUCAG